GACGAACGCUGGCGGCGUGCUUAACACAUGCAAGUCGAGCGGGAUCCAACCGGUGGCAACACCGGGGAAGAUCUAGCGGCGAACGGGUGAGUAACACGUGAGCAACCUGCCCCGAAGACUGGGAUAACACCGGGAAACCGGUGCUAAUACCGGAUGUCGUCAUUAGGCCGCAUGACCUGAUGAUGAAAGGAUUCAUCGCUUCGGGAGGGGCUCGCGGGCUAUCAGCUUGNGGUGGGGUAACGGCCUACCAAGGCGACGACGGCUAGCUGGUCUGAGAGGACGACCAGCCACACUGGGACUGAGACAGGCCCAGACUCCUACGGGAGGCAGCAGUGGGGAAUCUUGCGCAAUGGGCGAAAGCCUGACGCAGCAACGCCGCGUGGGGGAUGAAUGCC
Molecule: ribosomal RNA, 395 nt
Filed under: uncultured bacterium
Lineage: Bacteria
Description: bacterial SSU rRNA
Rfam family: Bacterial small subunit ribosomal RNA
Source: RNAcentral